This 315-nucleotide ribosomal RNA is filed under the name Escherichia coli. RNAcentral describes it as "bacterial SSU rRNA". It matches the Rfam family "Bacterial small subunit ribosomal RNA", at positions 1 to 312 of the family's 1533-position model. The record is from RNAcentral. Lineage: Bacteria; Pseudomonadati; Pseudomonadota; Gammaproteobacteria; Enterobacterales; Enterobacteriaceae.
AAAUUGAAGAGUUUGAUCAUGGCUCAGAUUGAACGCUGGCGGCAGGCCUAACACAUGCAAGUCGAACGGUAACAGGAAGAAGCUUGCUUCUUUGCUGACGAGUGGCGGACGGGUGAGUAAUGUCUGGGAAACUGCCUGAUGGAGGGGGAUAACUACUGGAAACGGUAGCUAAUACCGCAUAACGUCGCAAGACCAAAGAGGGGGACCUUCUGGCCUCUUGCCAUCGGAUGUGCCCAGAUGGGAUUAGCUAGUAGGUGGGGUAACGGCUCACCUAGGCGACGAUCCCUAGCUGGUCUAAGAGGAUGACCAGCCACA